CAUUUUUAUUGUGGUCUUCAUAAAUCCUCUCCCUUUUUUCUUUUCUUACAUAUAAUAUUAUAUUUUCCAGGUGGAGUUGUUGAUGAAGAAAGCAGACAGGAAGUGGCUGCAGACGAAGACAGCAACUGCAGCACUAACCAGAACUUUGACGCCAAAAUGAGCCGAGCCUCGUCGCUCUACGAGGGACCCAGCAGCGAGUUCCAGAGAGGAACGUUCAGGAUUAGCGCCUCCGGAUCGAACACGACCCGCAGAGCAGCAUUCAGACCCACUAAGAGUGCUCUGUCCAAUCAGUCUGAUGAAGACAACGACUCUGAUGAUGAAGUGCAAAAUGUUGAAAAGGUCCUUGGAAGCAGAGACUCCAGGAGUUACUGGCCAUCCAUCCAUCCAUCCAUCUAUCGUCCAUCGCAUCUACCGAUCUACCGGGAUCGGGUCACGGGGGCAGCAGCUCCAGUAAGGAACCCCAAUCUUCCCUUCUUCGGGCCACAUCCUCCAGCUCCGACUGGGGGAUCCUGAGGCGUUCCCAGGCCAGUGAGGAGAUAUAAUCUCUCCACAGAG
Molecule: long non-coding RNA, 555 nt
Filed under: Cottoperca gobio
Lineage: Eukaryota; Metazoa; Chordata; Actinopteri; Perciformes; Bovichtidae
Description: lncRNA (ENSCGOG00000004342.1)
Source: RNAcentral